This 71-nucleotide transfer RNA is filed under the name Marmota monax (woodchuck). Its description in RNAcentral is "tRNA.Pro". Lineage: Eukaryota; Metazoa; Chordata; Mammalia; Rodentia; Sciuridae. The record is from RNAcentral.
GGGGUUGUGGCUCAGCGAUAGAGCACUCACCCAGGGCAUGGGAGGCCCUGGGUUCGAUCCUCGGCACCACA